Molecule: ribosomal RNA, 497 nt
Filed under: uncultured bacterium
Lineage: Bacteria
Description: partial 16S ribosomal RNA
Rfam family: Bacterial small subunit ribosomal RNA
Source: RNAcentral
GAUGAACGCUGGCGGCGUGCCUAAUACAUGCAAGUCGAGCGAACAGACGAGGAGCUUGCUCCUCUGACGUUAGCGGCGGACGGGUGAGUAACACGUGGAUAACCUACCUAUAAGACUGGGAUAACUUCGGGAAACCGGAGCUAAUACCGGAUAAUAUAUUGAACCGCAUGGUUCAAUAGUGAAAGACGGUUUUGCUGUCACUUCUAGAUGGAUCCGCGCCGCAUUAGCUAGUUGGUAAGGUAACGGCUUAUCAAGGCAACGAUGCGUAGGCGACCUGUGAGGGUGAUAGGCCACACUGGAACUGAGACACGUUCCAGACUCCUACGGGAGGGAGCAGAAGGGAAUCGUCCGCAAUGGGCGAAAGCCUGACGGAGCAACGCCGCGUGAGUGAUGAAGGUCUUCGGAUCGUAAAACUCUGUUAUUAGGGAAGAACAACUGUGUAAGUAACUAUGCACGUCUUGACGGUACCUAAUCAGAAAGCCACGGCUAACUACGUG